CAAUAGCGUAUAUUAAAGUUGUUGCGGUUAAAACGCUCGUAGUUGGGUUUCUGUCAGGAACAACUGGUCUGUCCCGAGUGUCGAGCACUAGUUCGGCUCCUGGCAUCUUCUUGGGGAACGGGUGCGUACUUCACUGUAUGGCCUGGAAACCUUGACGUUUACUUUGAGGAAAUGAGAGUGCUUCAAGCGGGUGUCCGCCACGAAUACGUUAGCAUGGAAUAAUAGUAUUGGACCUCGGAUCAUAGCUGUUGGUUGCUGGAAUCGGGUGAGGGUAAACAGGGACAGUUGGGGCGAUUCGUAUUUAACUGUCAGAGGUGAAAUUCUUGGAUUUAUGAAAGACGAACUAGUGCGAAAGCAUUUGCCAAGGAUGUUUUCAUUAAUCAAGAACGAAAGUUAGGGGUUCGAAGACGAUUAGAUACC
Molecule: ribosomal RNA, 420 nt
Filed under: uncultured eukaryote
Lineage: Eukaryota
Description: bacterial SSU rRNA
Rfam family: Eukaryotic small subunit ribosomal RNA
Source: RNAcentral